GAUUAGUGCUGAAGAGAGGUUCCUCUGCCCCAGACACUUCUCAGGGAACAUUUUUAACCAGUCACUUAUGUCGACAGCAGUCUCCAAGUCCCCAGUUUCAAUCAAGAUAACAUCCUUGAGAAUCCAAGUUUUGCCACGAUGUGACAAAUGAAAGAACCUUUCUUACCAUCACACUGAUGUGAUAACAGUGUAAACGGGAAAUAACAAGAGAG
RNAcentral lists this long non-coding RNA (212 nucleotides) under Calidris pugnax (ruff). RNAcentral describes it as "lncRNA (ENSCPUG00000003176.1)". Lineage: Eukaryota; Metazoa; Chordata; Aves; Charadriiformes; Scolopacidae. The record is from RNAcentral.